GAACCUACGGGAGGCAGCAGUGAGGAAUAUUGGUCAAUGGCCGAGAGGCUGAACCAGCCAAGUCGCGUGAGGGAUGACGGCCCUACGGGUUGUAAACCUCUUUUGUCGGGGAGCAAGACCCGCCACGAGUGGCGGAGCGAGAGUACCCGAAGAAAAAGCAUCGGCUAACUCCGUGCCAGCAGCCGCGGUAAUACGGAGGAUGCGAGCGUUAUCCGGAUUUAUUGGGUUUAAAGGGUGCGCAGGCGGACCAUCAAGUCAGCGGUAAAAUUGCGGGGCUCAACCCCGUCGAGCCGUUGAAACUGGCA
This 305-nucleotide ribosomal RNA is filed under the name uncultured bacterium. RNAcentral describes it as "bacterial SSU rRNA". It matches the Rfam family "Bacterial small subunit ribosomal RNA", at positions 333 to 638 of the family's 1533-position model. The record is from RNAcentral.